GCAGACCAGUAUAUAGCAUAUCCUAUGAAAUGAAGAUUGAGCUGGGGGAAAAAAAUGCUUUAUUUAUUUAAAUACAGCUCAAUUUGACUUUUUAAGCAGAGUGGAAAAGGGACUGGAAAAGUCCAAAGGAUUUGGCUAAACCUGAACCCAGAAGAUACACACGCAGAAAAACAAGUAAAGAAACAAAAUAUAAAGUUUGCGUGGAAAGACACAAAAAUUCAUGAGCAUGAUAUUUGGAGGGCCAAGGAUAUACCAAAUUUUCUAGUAUGAUUAAGUGCAGUAACUACAAAUGAGGACGGUGGAGGCAGAUGACUGUGCUAGCAGAGAACCAGGAAGAGACGAGGAAAAGACAACAGGGACACAGGAAGAGGCGUCAGAUCCAGAUGAAUAUCUUUUGGAAGGGACUACUUCUUUUCUGCCAGAAUUUUAAAAUCCGUACAUUUGUCUAGAACUUUUGAGUUUACCUGGCAAAAGUGGUUUAACGUUC
RNAcentral lists this long non-coding RNA (487 nucleotides) under Bos taurus (domestic cattle). RNAcentral describes it as "long non-coding RNA NONBTAT015971". Lineage: Eukaryota; Metazoa; Chordata; Mammalia; Artiodactyla; Bovidae. The record is from RNAcentral.